AAUGUGAAUUAAAAUAAACUGAUAUUUUGAUUAUUUUUAGAUCCAGAAAAAUGGUUUUCUUUUCAUUAUUCAUACCUGCAUGCAAACAGUUUGUGUAGUGCAGAGAAAAGUAUGAAAUUUCCUCUUAUAGCUGUCCCCCAAUUCUGAACUCCCACAGGAUGAUUUAAACUGAAUAUCAUGGCAGAAGAAAGCUUAAAGGGAUCCUAGAAUUCAUUUAGUCCAGGUGUCUGCAACUAUGACCCACUGGCCAAAUCUGGCCCACUGCCUGUUUUUGUAAAUAAAAUUUUAUUGGAAAGCAA
Molecule: non-coding RNA, 299 nt
Organism: Equus caballus (horse)
Lineage: Eukaryota; Metazoa; Chordata; Mammalia; Perissodactyla; Equidae
Source: RefSeq, a predicted model, not a curated record